RNAcentral lists this transfer RNA (67 nucleotides) under Marmota monax (woodchuck). RNAcentral's name for it is "tRNA.Thr". Lineage: Eukaryota; Metazoa; Chordata; Mammalia; Rodentia; Sciuridae. The record is from RNAcentral.
UGCAGCUCAGUGGUAAAGCGCUCACCUCGUAUGUGGAAGGCACUGGGUUCGAGCCUCAGAACUGCAU